This 440-nucleotide ribosomal RNA is filed under the name uncultured bacterium. RNAcentral describes it as "partial 16S ribosomal RNA". It matches the Rfam family "Bacterial small subunit ribosomal RNA", at positions 338 to 795 of the family's 1533-position model. The record is from RNAcentral.
CCUACGUGUGGCAGCAGUGGGGAAUAUUGCACAAUGGGGGGAACCCUGAUCCAGCGACGCCGCGUGAGUGAAGAAGUAUUUCGGUAUGUAAAGCUCUAUCAGCAGGGAAGAAAAUGACGGUACCUGACUAAGAAGCCCCGGCUAACUACGUGCCAGCAGCCGCGGUAAUACGUAGGGGGCAAGCGUUAUCCGGAUUUACUGGGUGUAAAGGGAGCGUAGACGGCGGAGCAAGUCUGAUGUGAAAGGACGGGGCCCAACCCCGGGAAUGCAUUGGAAACUGUGGAACUAGAGUACAGGAGAGGUAAGCGGAAUUCCUAGUGUAGCGGUGAAAUGCGUAGAUAUUAGGAGGAACACCAGUGGCGAAGGCGGCUUACUGGACUGUAACUGACGUUGAGGCUCGAAAGCGUGGGGAGCAAACAGGAUUAGAUACCCGUGUAGUC